Molecule: long non-coding RNA, 750 nt
Organism: Cynara cardunculus var. scolymus (artichoke)
Lineage: Eukaryota; Viridiplantae; Streptophyta; Magnoliopsida; Asterales; Asteraceae
Exons: 2
Source: RefSeq, a predicted model, not a curated record
UCCAAAGCCCAAAGAUGCUGAGAAGAAAACCAAGCAAGAUCGAAGUUAAAAUCGAAGACAAAGAAGAACUCGAAGAAGCCCGCAAGCGUGCCGCCGCCACCUCCACCUCCACCUCCACCUCCACCUCCCAACCCACCGGCGCCACCUCGCUUCUUCACCACUUCAACCAAUCCUCUACCACCACCUCUUCCAAAUCACAUCGGAUUGGCCUCUCCUCUUAAUUAUCACCCGGUUAAGGUUUGUGUUUGAGGGUAGUGAUUACUGUUUUUGGUGGAAUCAUCAAGCAUUGGGAAAAGAGUAAAAGGCGACUUUUGGGGAAACUCAAUGACGAUUGCGGUCUAGGGUUAGGGUUUGAGUUUUUUUUUUAUGGGUUUAAGAGUGGGAAUGAAUCAAGAUUUGAAUUUGGGAUGCUGUAAGAUAUUAGGUGUGAGAGUAGCGAGCCUGGGAAAGGUAAAGAACGGCUUGAGGAGUUCUUGAAAGGGAAUGGAACUGCUUGUUCCUGUUUCAUGGCUUCAAAAUAUGCAAUUUGCAGUCAUACCUAGUAACUAGAAUUAUGAGGGAUGCAGCAAUGAAGUAAUGUAAAUGGCAAUUUGGGAGGGAGCAACAUCAGCCUUUGAGUUGUAAAAUUUAAUCCAUUCUUGUAUGGCAUAUAUGUGUUGAUCAUAAUCUUUUAGUUUUAUGUUCUUGUAGGAUGCUAUCCAAUAAUAAAAGAUUGAGUAUGCUUUCAUAAUCCAUAAAGAUGUUGGUAUU